GUACACCUCUUCAUUCCUACUUCACCUCAACUCUCUCAUUCAGAUCUUUCAUCCACUUAACGUAGCAUUAUUUUUAAGUGUUCAUUGUUGAAAACACGAAUGUCAUGAUCACCAAAUUUUCUCAUUUUUUUUCGUGUUGCCAAAAGUCAUCGAACUAAGAUUCAUUGACCUUUUGUCGUUGAAAUGAUAUUGAGGUCCCUACCAAACUGAAAUGAGUCAUUCACGGGAAUUAAAGUAUACAUUUUUUUAAAUUUCUUUGUUAAAAAUCCAACAUUUCUUACUUAUGGAUUCCAAUGGAAAUUUUUUGUAAUUUUUUUCUUAAAAAUGACUCAUUUUAGAUCAUAUGAGGUUUUCCAUCCCCAAAUUUUCUACUUUUUUCGUGUUGUCAAAAGUCAUCCAUGUUAACUUGGAUUCACUGACCUUUUUGCAUUGAAAACAAUAUUGAGGUCCCUACCGAUAUGAAAUGAGUCAUUCACUACUGACUUAGGGAGUCAAUCAAGGUAUACAUUUGUUUAAAUUUCCUCUUAAAAAAUUUGACUAUUCUUACUUUUUCUGAGUUUUUAGUGGAAUAUUUUUGUAUUUUUCUCUUAAAAAUGGGUCAUUUUAAAUCAUAAAAGGUUUUCUAUUUACAUUUUUUGUAUUAUUUUGGUUAAAGAAAUCUUUGACAUCCUUUUUAUGGCUAAAAUGAGCCAUUCACUAUUUACUUUGGGAGUCAAUGUGUUGGACCAGACUACCACUGGGGAGGAGUUCCAUUGUUACAUGGGCAUGGGAAGAGUGAAGAGUCACAAGUGAGACACCACAUCUUGAACCAAAACCUUAAGGCAUUAGUUUCAUAGGUCUUUCCUUCUUAUAAACUCUUUCGCUCCUCCCUACAUAUCCAAUGUGGGACUUCACACUUGAAUAAAUCCAACAAUCUCCCCCUCAAGUGUGGGUACCACACUUUCCGGUCCGCUCCCCUUCAGUCCACCAUGUCCCAGCCGAACCAUCGGCAAUGAUACCACUUUAUGGACCAGAAUGCUACCGGGGAGCCUCCAACCGUCGGGGAGUUCCAUUGUUACAUGGGUAUGGGAAGAGUGAAGAGUUACAAGUGAGACACCACGUCUUGAACCAAAAGUUUUGAUAUUUUGAUAUUUUUUUAAUAUCAAAAUACAGUAUUUUUUACUUUAUCUUGGUUUUCAUAUUUUUUUGUAGAUUCAUUAGUAAAAAUGAGGCCUUUAAUAUUGUAUCACAAAGUUUGCUGUUUAUGAGUUGUUGGCAUCACUACAAUUAGGGGCAUACGUAAUGAUUUAUGAUCUCCUAUUGUAUUGGUACCCACUUUCAAAUGUGUGGUUUAUGACCUUUAAUGUUUUUGAUUGAUUUGAGUGUUUUGAAUGCCAUUACAAUUUUUAUUACUAGCUUUACUCUAAAAUGAAUUGAAGAAGAAAUAUAUUACCUUCUAUGAUAUUUGAUAUGCAUUACUAAUGACUUAUUUAUUAUGUAAUAUUCUCUGAUAUUGUGUUUGAAAUUACUGCUAAAUGAUCUUUACUCUCUACCCAUUUUCAUUAUCAUUGAUUUUCAAAAUCAUUAUUAUUGUUUUUCAUUAUCACAUCAAUAUGCUAUCCUCACUGAUUCUAAUUUUUGCUGGUUGUUACUACCUUAUAUCUUUCCACUAAGUGGUAGUUAAUUUACGGUAUAACCACUUUGGAUAUUGGGUGCAUAUUUUGUUUUUACUGAUUAGCUUCAGUUGUUGAAUGAUAAUCUUUCAUUGGGUCUAAAGUUUAUGAAAUUGACUCUCUACAUGUCCAUCGUCACUUGGUGUUCAUUUUUUCACAUUAUAAUUUUAAUGUAAGUAAAGAUCACAAUUCAUACCUCAAUUAUUUUGACUAUUCCAUGUCUAUGUCUAAUAGACAUUGUCACAACUUGAAUUCAUCUAACUCUCUACAUUUGCUUUCAUCGUUGGUGGUUGUACAUUUCAUUGUUGACAUAUAUUAAUGUUUGUACAUUCUCUUAUCUAUUAUUUUUAUGUGUGUACUAAAUUGUUUAUUAAGUAAUGGAUGAUUCUUUGUAGUCUAUGUUUAUUAGACAUCCUUAAUUACUACUUCUUGAUUUACCAGAUGAACUCUUGUAUUAUUGUCUUCUCUUAACUAAAUUGCUGAAUGAAUAAUUGUUAAAUGGUUUUUAACUGUUGCUGCAGUAUCAUUUUUACUAUGACAUGCUAUUACUAAAUUGGGUUUGGGCAUUUUGUUGUACAAUGCUUACAUAUUGGGCAUAUUAGUGUUAUUAAACUUCGUCCAUUGUUUGAUCUAUUUAAUUUUUUGAAAAAAGGUUUUUGCAAUUACUAAAUUGGUCAUAUUGUGUACACAGUACACUAUGAUCGAUUUCAAUUCUGGGUUAUAAUCAUCUUUUUGUUACAUACUUUACUUACAUGUCUCUCACUUGUAUUCCACUUUUUCUAUCUCAUGUGUUGAAAAUGAUACUUUAUUUCCCACUUUCUGUAUAAUUUUAAUAAUUUUUUUCUUUGUUUGAUUAUUACACUGUUGAAUAUCCUGAUGAUGGAUAAAGUUAAGUCUUAUGUUGAGAGUCAUGUAUUCAAUAAUAAUAAUAAGGUAUGUAUAAUAUGUGGUAGCCUACUUGCUCACCUCUAGAAAAAAUGGUCUUGACUUUUUUUUAUCUUACUAUAAUACUAUUAUUUCAUUAACUUAUUGUUAUAUAUGUUUUACUGAAAUGUUGUUAGCAUUUUUGUAUAUCUUAAUCUUUUUUUUUAUGGUGGCUUAAUAUUUUCAUAAAUUAGUCUCUAUUGUAUUAAUGUCAAUAAUAUGUCAGUUCGAGUUGAUAAAAGAUUUGAAUUAUUCAAAACAUAUGUGGAAGAUUGUUGUCAGAAUUACAAAAAAUUGGUAUGCGCAACUUCCACCCAAACCUGGACAUCUGGAAAUGAUAUUGAUGGACUGUAAGGUGAUAACAUAUCCUAUAAUUUUUAAUAUGUUUGAAAAAUUACUAAUGUCCAAUUGUUUUAAUUAAUUCAGGGAGACAAGAUCCAAGUUCAAUCAAUGGAGAGAACAUUUGAUUGAAAAUAACACCUAUUUCAUGCACAAUUUCAAUGUGAUGCACAAUGAUCUCUCAUUUAAGGCAUGCAAUCUUGUCAACAAAAUGUAGUUUACUGCUAGUACAAUUAUGAAAGAUAGAGACUUUCCUGAUGUUCUUCAAUUUGAAUAUGAUUUAUAAAAGUUUGGUAAGAUAUUUGUUGUGAACUUUCAAAGUGAUGUGUUAGUAGGUUAGUUUUUUU
Molecule: long non-coding RNA, 3262 nt
Filed under: Lupinus angustifolius (narrow-leaved blue lupine)
Lineage: Eukaryota; Viridiplantae; Streptophyta; Magnoliopsida; Fabales; Fabaceae
Description: long non-coding RNA (LANG_LNC001908)
Source: RNAcentral